GUAGCUGGCAAGCGUUGUCCGGAGUUAUUGGGCGUAAAGCGCGCGCAGGUGGUUCUUUAAGUCUGAUGUGAAAGCCCCCGGCUCAACCGGGGAGGGUCAUUGGAAACUGGGGAACUUGAGUGCAGGAGAGGAAAGUGGAAUUCCACGUGUAGCGGUGAAAUGCGUAGAUAUGUGGAGGAACACCAGUGGCGAAGGCGACUUUCUGGCCUGUAACUGACACUGAGGCGCGAAAGCGUGGGGAGCAAACAGGGAUUAGAUACCCUGGUAGUCCACGCCGUAAACGAUGAGUGCUAAGUGUUGGGGGGGUUUCCGCCCCCUCAGUGCUGCAGCUAACGCAUUAAGCACUCCGCCUGGGAGUACGGUCGCAAGACUG
Molecule: ribosomal RNA, 373 nt
Filed under: uncultured organism
Description: partial 16S ribosomal RNA
Rfam family: Bacterial small subunit ribosomal RNA
Source: RNAcentral